CUGCGGUUGGAUCACCUCCUUUCUAGAGUACUAAAGUAAUAAGUCUCACAACUAUUACUUCAAUAAACUCAAUCAUCCUUGUUUAGAUUUCAAAGAUUGAUGAAAAAGCUAAUUUUGGGGAAUUAGCUCAGCUGGGAGAGUGUGUGCUUUGCACAUAAAAGCGUUAAGAAAAAGCAAACUGCUUUGCUUUUUUAGCUUUUCUCAUAAAGUACUACGUUGCUUUAUGAACUGCGUGCUUUAACUAGUUGAACUUUUUCUCUUAAGUUCUUUAUGGGGAAUUAGCUCAGCUGGGAGAGCGCCUGCUUUGCACGCAGGAGGUCAGCGGUUCGAUCCCGCUAUUCUCCACCAUUUUAAGGGCCUAUAGCUCAGCUGGUUAGAGUGCACCCCUGAUAAGGGUGAGGUCACAAGUUCAAGUCUUGUUAGGCCCACCAUAAAAAAGAUUUGUUUGCAAUAUAAAUAUAUAAGUUUUAAAACUUAAAGUAAGUAUAUUAAAUAUAUUUAUAAAUAAGAAUAUUUUAAUUAUUAAUUAUACUUACUUUAGGUUUUAAGACCUAAAUUAAAUAAAUAAUAAAAUAUUUUAUAUAUUAGAUUAGUUAUUUAAAGUUAUUUGAAUUAUCAUUGUUAAGAGUCACAAGCAAGUUUUUAGUAAAAACAAUUUUUACAGAACUUGUUAAAGAAUAAAAUUAUUAUUAUCUUUGCUUUAGUCUUUAAGAUUAAAGAUAAGUUUUAAACUCACAGCUCAUUAGCUAUAUUUAGUUUAUUAAGUGUUUAAAUGCUUUCCGUCUUGAGAUAGUAACGUUGUGAGUGGUAAAACUUCACCACGGAAGUGAUGCCGUUUAGAUAAACGUAAAAAACGUAAGC
RNAcentral lists this transfer RNA (861 nucleotides) under Campylobacter lari. RNAcentral describes it as "partial miscellaneous RNA". The stretch from base 355 to 428 matches the Rfam family "tRNA". Lineage: Bacteria; Pseudomonadati; Campylobacterota; Epsilonproteobacteria; Campylobacterales; Campylobacteraceae. The record is from RNAcentral.